CCAGACUCCUACGGGAGGCAGCAGUGGGGAAUAUUGCACAAUGGGGGGAACCCUGAUGCAGCGACGCCGCGUGGGUGAAGGAGCACCUCGGUGCGUAAAGCCCUAUCGGCAGGGAAGAAAAGCGAACAGGUUCGCCUGGACGGUACCUGACUAAGAAGCCCCGGCUAACUACGUGCCAGCAGCCGCGGUAAUACGUAGGGAGCGAGCGUUGUCCGGAAUUACUGGGUGUAAAGGGAGCGUAGGCGGGCUUGUAAGUUGAAUGUCUAAUCCACCGGCUCAACCGGUGAUCGCGUUCAAAACUGCAGGUCUUGAGUGGAGUAGAGGCAGGCGGAAUUCCUAGUGUAGCGGUGAAAUGCGUAGAUAUUAGGAGGAACACCAGUGGCGAAGGCGGCCUGCUGGGCUUUAACUGACGCUGAGGCUCGAAAGCGUGGGGAGCAAACAGGAUUAGAUACCCCCGUAC
RNAcentral lists this ribosomal RNA (460 nucleotides) under uncultured bacterium. Its description in RNAcentral is "bacterial SSU rRNA". It matches the Rfam family "Bacterial small subunit ribosomal RNA", at positions 331 to 793 of the family's 1533-position model. The record is from RNAcentral.